This 324-nucleotide ribosomal RNA is filed under the name uncultured eukaryote. RNAcentral's name for it is "partial 18S ribosomal RNA". It matches the Rfam family "Eukaryotic small subunit ribosomal RNA", at positions 1470 to 1796 of the family's 1831-position model. The record is from RNAcentral.
CCCUUAGAUGUUCUGGGCCGCACGCGCGCUACACUGAUGCAUUCAACGAGUUUCUUCCUGGUCCGAGAGGAAUGGGUAACCCUUUGAAAGUGCAUCGUGAUAGGGAUAGACUAUUGCAAUUAUUGGUCUUCAACGAGGAAUUCCUAGUAGACGUAGUUCAUCAGACUGCAUCGAUUACGUCCCUGCCCUUUGUACACACCGCCCGUCGCUCCUACCGAUUGAAUGCUCAGGUGAGCCAUUCGGACUUUCAUCAUGCUGGUUUCCAGUUUUGAUGAAGGAAAGUCUUGCGAACCUUAUCAUUUAGAGGAAGGAGAAGUCGUAACA